Potamilus streckersoni is the source of this 73-nucleotide non-coding RNA. Lineage: Eukaryota; Metazoa; Mollusca; Bivalvia; Unionida; Unionidae. The record is from the annotation of a GenBank genome assembly.
GGUCGCAUAGCUCAGUUUGCGAGAGCGUCUUACUAAUGAUGUAAAGACUGUGGGUUCAAAUCCCCCGAGAUCA